CCUACGGGAGGCAGCAGUGGGGAAUAUUGCGCAAUGGGCGAAAGCCUGACGCAGCGACGCCGCGUGAGGGAUGAAGGUCUUCGGAUCGUAAACCUCUGUCAGCAGGGAAGAACGGUCACUGUGCUAAUCAGCAGUGAAUUGACGGUACCUGCAAAGGAAGCACAGGCUAACUCCGUGCCCGCAGCCGCGGUAAUACGGAGGGUUCGAACGUUAAUCGGAAUUGCUGGGCGUAAAGCGCUGGUAGGCGUUAUGUCAAGUCAAGGGUGAAAUCCCCGGCCUCAACGUGGGGACUGCCUUUGAAACUGGCAAACUGGAGUGUGUGAGAGGAUAGUGGAAUUCCAGGUGUAGGAGUGAAAUCCGUAGAUAUCUGGAGGAACAUCAGUGGCGAAGGCGACUAUCUGGCACAUAACUGACGCUGAGGAGCGAAAGCGUGGGUAGCAAACAGGAUUAGAUACCCUGGUAGUC
Molecule: ribosomal RNA, 465 nt
Filed under: uncultured bacterium
Lineage: Bacteria
Description: partial 16S ribosomal RNA
Rfam family: Bacterial small subunit ribosomal RNA
Source: RNAcentral